CCUACGGGAGGCAGCAGUGGGGAAUAUUGGACAAUGGGCGAAAGCCUGAUCCAGCCAUGCCGCGUGUGUGAAGAAGGUCUUCGGAUUGUAAAGCACUUUAAGUUGGGAGGAAGGGCAGUAAGCGAAUACCUUGCUGUUUUGACGUUACCGACAGAAUAAGCACCGGCUAACUCUGUGCCAGCAGCCGCGGUAAUACAGAGGGUGCAAGCGUUAAUCGGAAUUACUGGGCGUAAAGCGCGCGUAGGUGGUUUGUUAAGUUGAAUGUGAAAUCCCCGGGCUCAACCUGGGAACUGCAUCCAAAACUGGCAAGCUAGAGUAGGGCAGAGGGUGGUGGAAUUUCCUGUGUAGCGGUGAAAUGCGUAGAUAUAGGAAGGAACACCAGUGGCGAAGGCGACCACCUGGGCUCAUACUGACACUGAGGUGCGAAAGCGUUGGGGAGCAAACAGGAUUAGAUACCCUGGUAGUCCCACGACCGUAACGACUAGUCACUACGCGUGUAGACUGNGCUUAGUGUCGCNGCUACGCAUAGUUAG
This 533-nucleotide ribosomal RNA is filed under the name uncultured bacterium. RNAcentral describes it as "bacterial SSU rRNA". It matches the Rfam family "Bacterial small subunit ribosomal RNA", at positions 338 to 868 of the family's 1533-position model. The record is from RNAcentral.